AUACGUAGGGUGCAAGCGUUAAUCGGAAUUACUGGGCGUAAAGCGUGCGCAGGCGGUUUUGUAAGACAGUGGUGAAAUCCCCGGGCUCAACCUGGGAACUGCCAUUGUGACUGCAAGGCUGGAGUGCGGCAGAGGGGGGUGGAAUUCCGCGUGUAGCAGUGAAAUGCGUAGAUAGGCGGAGGAACACCGAUGGCGAAGGCAUUCCCCCGGGCAUACAGUGACGCACAUGCACCAAAGCGUGGAGAGCAAACAGGAUUAGAUACCCUUGUAGUCCUCGCCCUAAACGAUGUCAACUGGUUUUUGGGGUUUUAUUUUCUCAGUACCGAAGCUAACGCGUUAAGUUGACCGCCUGGGGAGUACGGCCGCAAGGUUAAAACUCAAAGGAAUUGACGGGG
RNAcentral lists this ribosomal RNA (395 nucleotides) under uncultured bacterium. RNAcentral describes it as "partial 16S ribosomal RNA". It matches the Rfam family "Bacterial small subunit ribosomal RNA", at positions 523 to 918 of the family's 1533-position model. The record is from RNAcentral.